GAUGAACGCUAGCGAUAGGCUUAACACAUGCAAGUCGAGGGGCAGCAUGGUCUUAGCUUGCUAAGACUGAUGGCGACCGGCGCACGGGUGCGUAACACGUAUGCAACUUGCCUCACAGAGGGGGAUAACCCGUCGAAAGACGGACUAAUACCGCUUUCACUCUAUUUUGGGCAUCCAAGGUAGAGGAAAUGAAAGUCGCUGUGAGAUAGGCAUGCGUCCCAUUAGCUAGUUGGUGAGGUCACGGCCCACCAAGGCGACGCUGCGUGGGGGAGCCGGGGGGUUGCCCCCCCACAAUGGUACCAGGGCACGGACCAGACUGCUACGGGAGGGAGCAGUGAGGAAGAUUAGGCACUGGGCGAGGACCUGAACCAGCCAAGUCGCGUGAGGGAUGCCUGUCUUAUGGAUUGUAAACUUCUUUUGUAGGGGAAUAAAGAGGGGCACGUGUGCCGUAGUGACGGUACCCAAAGAAUAAGCACCGGCUAACUCCGUG
This 490-nucleotide ribosomal RNA is filed under the name uncultured bacterium. RNAcentral describes it as "partial 16S ribosomal RNA". It matches the Rfam family "Bacterial small subunit ribosomal RNA", at positions 28 to 507 of the family's 1533-position model. The record is from RNAcentral.